UUUCCGUAGGUGAACCUGCGGAAGGAUCAUUAAUGAUUUGUCAUGGGGUUCGAUGCUGGCAGCCAAUUUUUGGAUGCAUGUGCUUGCCCUAACAAUCAUCUUCCAAACACCUGUGCACAUUUUUGAGGGAGUCUUGAGUUGGUUGCCGCUCUUGGGUGAUUUUCUCACAUUCCCUUAAAUCAUUAUACGCUAUUAACAAUGUUGAACGUGCUCUGUGCCGCAAGGCUAUUAAUAUAAUACAACUUUUAACAACGGAUCUCUUGGCUCUC
This 269-nucleotide unclassified non-coding RNA is filed under the name plant metagenome. Its description in RNAcentral is "partial contains small subunit ribosomal RNA, internal transcribed spacer 1, and 5.8S ribosomal RNA". The record is from RNAcentral.